This 450-nucleotide ribosomal RNA is filed under the name uncultured bacterium. RNAcentral describes it as "partial 16S ribosomal RNA". It matches the Rfam family "Bacterial small subunit ribosomal RNA", at positions 354 to 796 of the family's 1533-position model. The record is from RNAcentral.
GUGGGGAAUCUUCCGCAAUGGACGAAAGUCUGACGGAGCAACGCCGCGUGAGUGAUGAAGGUUUUCGGACUGUAAAGCUCUGUUGUUUAGGACGAAAGUGCCUGUUGCGAAUAGUUACAGGUAUUGACGGUACUGAACGAGGAAGCCACGGCUAACUACGUGCCAGCAGCCGCGGUAAUACGUAGGUGGCAAGCGUUGUCCGGAAUUAUUGGGCGUAAAGAGCAUGUAGGCGGGAAUCUGAGUCUGUUGUGGAAAUGCGGGGCUCAACCCCGUAUUGCGAUGGAAACUGGGUUUCUUGAGUGCAGGAGAGGAAAGGGGAAUUCCCAGUGUAGCGGUGAAAUGCGUAGAUAUUGGGAGGAACACCAGUGGCGAAGGCGCCUUUCUGGACUGUGUCUGACGCUGAGAUGCGAAAGCCAGGGUAGCGAACGGGAUUAGAAACCCUAGUAGUCC